UACGGAGGGUGCAAGCGUUAAUCGGAAUUACUGGGCGUAAAGCGCACGCAGGCGGUCUGUCAAGUCGGAUGUGAAAUCCCCGGGCUCAACCUGGGAACUGCAUUCGAAACUGGCAGGCUAGAGUCUUGUAGAGGGGGGUAGAAUUCCAGGUGUAGCGGUGAAAUGCGUAGAGAUCUGGAGGAAUACCGGUGGCGAAGGCGGCCCCCUGGACAAAGACUGACGCUCAGGUGCGAAAGCGUGGGGAGCAAACAGGAUUAGAUAC
RNAcentral lists this ribosomal RNA (262 nucleotides) under uncultured Enterobacterales bacterium. RNAcentral's name for it is "partial 16S ribosomal RNA". It matches the Rfam family "Bacterial small subunit ribosomal RNA", at positions 524 to 785 of the family's 1533-position model. Lineage: Bacteria; Pseudomonadati; Pseudomonadota; Gammaproteobacteria; Enterobacterales. The record is from RNAcentral.